UCUUGGUCAAUUUAGAGGAAGUAAAAGUCGUAACAAGGUUUCCGUAGGUGAACCUGCGGAAGGAUCAUUAAAAGAAAUUGGUUAUACAUUUCAUGUAUCAACUGUUUAAACCCAUUCUGUGUACCUUGCCUGUUGCUUCCAUGGAGCCUGACUUUGGUCACUCUUGUGAUGUAAAUCCCAAGGGAGUCCCCAUGGAAGGUCAUCAAUAAAACUCAUGUAUCCAAUGUCUUCUGUCUGAACUGUUUAUAACAAAUGUUAAAACUUUCAACAACGGAUCUCUUGGUUCUCGCAUCGAUGAAGAACGCAGCGAAAUGCGAUAAGUAUUGUGAAUUGCAGAAUUCAGUGAAUCAUCGAAUCUUUGAACGCACAUUGCGCCUCCUGGUAUUCCGGGAGGCAUGCCUGUUCGAGCGUCAUUAAAUACCUCUCAAGCACCAUUGCUUGGUCAUGGAAGAUGAGUAUGCUUGCAUUCUCCCUUCUGAAAUUCAAAGGCGGAUCAUCUCAUAUUCCCUGGCGUAGUAAGUGUUUAUCUUUCGCUUGGAGUGUGUGACAGUCUUGCCAUCGACCCCCAUUAUUUCAAGGUUGACCUCGGAUCAGGUAGGGAUACCCGCUGAACUUAAGCAUAUCAAUA
Molecule: ribosomal RNA, 628 nt
Filed under: uncultured Wilcoxina
Lineage: Eukaryota; Fungi; Ascomycota; Pezizomycetes; Pezizales; Pyronemataceae
Description: eukaryotic LSU rRNA
Rfam family: 5.8S ribosomal RNA (bases 260-413)
Source: RNAcentral